GGGGAAAUUCAUUCGCGUUUCGGCCGUCAGCGGGGAAUGGUCGAGUGACGGAUGGCCUUCGGGUCGUCUGCGCCUUCCGUUUUUCGAUCCGGCGUCGAACGCGUGCACUUUUCCCCUAGUAGGACGUCGCGAUCCGUUGGGUGUCGGUCUAAGGCCCUCGGUGGAGCCCGUGCGAUCGGUUCUCCGAUUCGUGCGGACCCGAGGUGUCCCGGCCGACUCGCUCGACGGUAUACAGAUGGCGCGGGGCCGCUAUUCAGUUAGCGUCCGGCCCGUGGCAAGCGCGCUGGGUGUGCUGGCGAUCGGACCUAGUGCCGGUCCCGGCCCCCAGUGACUGUUGGCUGCGGUGWUCUCGGACAGACCUCGUYGAAACGCCGWKSUGMSWCGCYAUAGCUUUGGGUACUWUCAGGACCCGUCUUGAA
This 419-nucleotide ribosomal RNA is filed under the name Basiliorhinus sp. CND683. RNAcentral's name for it is "partial 28S ribosomal RNA". The record is from RNAcentral. Lineage: Eukaryota; Metazoa; Arthropoda; Insecta; Coleoptera; Nemonychidae.